RNAcentral lists this ribosomal RNA (396 nucleotides) under Leander tenuicornis. Its description in RNAcentral is "partial 16S ribosomal RNA". It matches the Rfam family "Bacterial large subunit ribosomal RNA", at positions 1932 to 2540 of the family's 2925-position model. The record is from RNAcentral. Lineage: Eukaryota; Metazoa; Arthropoda; Malacostraca; Decapoda; Palaemonidae.
CGCAGUAAUUUGACUGUGCGAAGGUAGCAUAAUCAUUAGUCUUUUAAUUGGAGGCUUGUAUGAAUGGCUGGAUGAAGGAUAAGCUGUCUUUUAUAUAUAAGUUGAAUUUAACUUUUAAGUGAAAAGGCUUAGAUAAAUUAGGGGGACGAUAAGACCCUAUAAAACUUUAUAUUAUUAAGCUUAAGUUGUAAAUAAUGUAAAAAAUAGUUUUUGUUUAAUAGUAUUUUAUUGGGGCGAUAAAAAUAUAAUUGUAACUGUUUUAUGAAAGAUAUACUAAUAAGUAUAAAUUGAUCCUUAAUUAAAGAUUAAAAGAUUAAGUUACUUUAGGGAUAACAGCGUAAUUUUCUUUGAGAGUUCUUAUCGAUAAGAGUAGUUGCGACCUCGAUGUUGAAUUAA